GAAUUUUAAAGGAAAUGACGGAAGGGCACCACCAGGAGUGGAGCCUGCGGCUUAAUUUGACUCAACACGGGAAAACUCACCAGGCCCGGACACCGGAAGGAUUGACAGAUUGAGAGCUCUUUCUUGAUUCGGUGGGUGGUGGUGCAUGGCCGUUCUUAGUUGGUGGAGCGAUUUGUCUGGUUAAUUCCGAUAACGAACGAGACUCUAGCCUACUAACUAGGCGUACCCGGUAUCCACAAUCGUGCUACCGGCGAUCAUAUUUCUUCUUAGAGGGACAGGCGGCUUCUAGCCGCACGAGACUGAGCAAUAACAGGUCUGUGAUGCCCUUAGAUGUCCUGGGCCGCACGCGCGCUACACUGAAGGAAUCAGCGUGUCUUCCCUGUCCGAAAGGACCGGGUAACCCGCUGAACCUCCUUUGUGCUAGGGAUUGGGGCUUGCAAUUGUUCCCCAUGAACGAGGAAUUCCCAGUAAGCGCGAGUCAUAAGCUCGCGUUGAUUACGUCCCUGCCCUUUGUACACACCGCCCGUCGCUACUACCGAUUGAAUGAUUUAGUGAGGUCUUCGGACUGGUGCGCGGAGGCCGCUUACGUGGUCUCCGAUGUUGCCGGAAAGAUGACCAAACUUGAUCAUUUAGAGGAAGUAAAAGUCGUAACAAGGUUCCCGUAGG
This 666-nucleotide ribosomal RNA is filed under the name Issidae aff. Eusudasina sp. MMW-2016. RNAcentral describes it as "SSU rRNA". It matches the Rfam family "Eukaryotic small subunit ribosomal RNA", at positions 1139 to 1809 of the family's 1831-position model. The record is from RNAcentral. Lineage: Eukaryota; Metazoa; Arthropoda; Insecta; Hemiptera; Issidae.